RNA transcript from Ipomoea triloba (trilobed morning glory), 1273 nucleotides. It is a transcript of the gene named malate dehydrogenase [NADP], chloroplastic-like, with no coding region annotated. NCBI's taxonomy places the organism in Eukaryota, Viridiplantae, Streptophyta, Magnoliopsida, Solanales, Convolvulaceae. The transcript has 4 exons. The record is from RefSeq and is a predicted model, not a curated record.
UUGAAAGCCUCAGCCGACUCUCACCAUAGCCAAACUCCACUGCCAUCUGCCUUCACCAUCGCCAAACACCACUGUCGUCUGCCUUCACCAUCGCCACCACUGCUCACCACCGCCUUCGCCGUCGACCAGAGUCCCACCGGCCACCGGCAUCGACCCAGCCGCGCUAAGUUCGCCCACCGGUUCACCGACGCCGUCGCCCGCCUUCGCCCACCGUCUCCUCCCUCGCCGUCGACCAGUUCUCCCACUGCCUCCUCCUUCGCCGCCGUCGACCAGUUCACCGGUUCGCCACCGCCCUCGACGACUUCUCCCACCGCCGUAACACUAUAACACUGAGUUGCUAUGGAACUAGAAGACUUAUUUCACCCUCUAUAAAGGGAAGUGAGUAUUAGUAUAGAUCCCUAUGAUGUGUUCUGAGAUGCAGAAUGGGCACUUCUGAUUGGUGCAAAACCUCGUGACCCUGGAAUGGAAUGAGCUGCCCUAUUGGACAUAAAUGGGUAGAUCUUUGCUGAACAAGUACCAUCUUACCCAUAAGACCAUAAAUAUUGAAGGAUAAACAAUGUGCUUUAUGUUUCUUUUGGACUUCUAGUUUUAGAGAACUACAAAUUGUUUGUUCCAAAUUUAAUAUAAUUACUUACAUAUCACAGGGAAAAGCUCUGAAUGCUGUUGCAUCACGCAAUGUCAAAGUGAUAGUAGUUGGCAACCCUUGCAAUACCAAGUAACAUUAUACCUUUUCUUUUCUCAUUUAUGCCAAGGUUACUGUUAGUGCCACUGUGUUCAAUAUUAAUUUCCUUUCAUCUUUUCUAGUGCGUUGAUUUGUUUGAAAAAUGCUCCAGGCAUACCAGCAAAGAACUUUCAUGCUUUAACUAAGUUAGAUGAAAACCAAGCAAAAUGCCAGGUAUGAUAAAGUAUCUAAUGUUACCAUCUGGGGAAAUCACUCAACCACUCAGGUUCCUGAUUCUCUAAAUGCUAAAAUAAAUGGAUUGCCUGUAAAAGAGGUUAUUAAAGAGAUACUAAGUGGCUUGAGGAAUAGUUUACAGAAAAGGUCCAGAAGGUUGAAAAUCUGGGGCGUUUAAAUUGUGAUCUCAACAUCUCGACCGCUCGACAAUGCUAAUUUUGCAAAUGUACAAGAAUAAAUUUAGAAUUUGAAGGCUACUAUUGUAUUGUUGUAUAGAUUUUGAAUUGACUAUUAUUGCUUAGUAAAUAUGGAUUGAUAAUGUAUUAUUACUUGAACAUAAUGUGGAUUAAUAAUAUUUUAGAAUUAUGUUAUAUUUUA